RNAcentral lists this ribosomal RNA (854 nucleotides) under Periconia byssoides. Its description in RNAcentral is "partial large subunit ribosomal RNA". It matches the Rfam family "Eukaryotic large subunit ribosomal RNA", at positions 68 to 940 of the family's 3401-position model. The record is from RNAcentral. Lineage: Eukaryota; Fungi; Ascomycota; Dothideomycetes; Pleosporales; Periconiaceae.
ACAGGGAUUGCCCUAGUAACGGCGAGUGAAGCGGCAACAGCUCAAAUUUGAAAUCUGGCUCUUUCAGGGUCCGAGUUGUAAUUUGCAGAGGGUGCUUUGGUGUUGGCGGCGGUCUAAGUUCCUUGGAACAGGACAUCGCAGAGGGUGAGAAUCCCGUAUGUGGUCGCCUGCCUUCGCCGUGUAAAGCCCCUUCGACGAGUCGAGUUGUUUGGGAAUGCAGCUCUAAAUGGGAGGUAAAUUUCUUCUAAAGCUAAAUACCGGCCAGAGACCGAUAGCGCACAAGUAGAGUGAUCGAAAGAUGAAAAGCACUUUGGAAAGAGAGUCAAACAGCACGUGAAAUUGUUAAAAGGGAAGCGCUUGCAGCCAGACUUGCCUGUAGUUGCUCGCCUGGGCUUUUGCCCGGGUUACUCUUCUGCAGGCAGGCCAGCAUCAGUUUGGGCGGUCGGAUAAAGGUCCCUUUCACGUAUCUCCCUUCGGGGUUAACAUAUAGGGGGGACGUAAUGCGACCAGCCUGGACUGAGGUCCGCGCAUCUGCUAGGAUGCUGGCGUAAUGGCUGUAAGCGGCCCGUCUUGAAACACGGACCAAGGAGUCUAACAUCUAUGCGAGUGUUUGGGUGUCAAGCCCGAGCGCGUAAUGAAAGUGAACGGAGGUGGGAACCCCUCGGGGCGCACCAUCGACCGAUCCUGAUGUCUUCGGAUGGAUUUGAGUAAGAGCAUAGCUGUUGGGACCCGAAAGAUGGUGAACUAUGCUUGAAUAGGGUGAAGCCAGAGGAAACUCUGGUGGAGGCUCGCAGCGGUUCUGACGUGCAAAUCGAUCGUCAAAUUUGGGCAUAGGGGCGAAAGACUAAUCGAAC